This 253-nucleotide ribosomal RNA is filed under the name uncultured bacterium. RNAcentral's name for it is "partial 16S ribosomal RNA". It matches the Rfam family "Bacterial small subunit ribosomal RNA", at positions 524 to 776 of the family's 1533-position model. The record is from RNAcentral.
UACGUAGGGUGCGAGCGUUGUCCGGAAUUAUUGGGCGUAAAGAGCUCGUAGGCGGUUUGUCACGUCUGCUGUGAAAUCCCGAGGCUCAACCUCGGGCCUGCAGUGGGUACGGGCAGACUGGAGUGCGGUAGGGGAGAAUGGAAUUCCUGGUGUAGCGGUGAAAUGCGCAGAUAUCAGGAGGAACACCGGUGGCGAAGGCGGUUCUCUGGGCAUGAUCUGACGCUGAGGAGCGAAAGUGUGGGGAGCGAACAGG